GUGGGGAAUAUUGGGCAAUGGGCGAAAGCCUGACCCAGCAACGCCGCGUGAAGGAAGAAGGUCUUCGGAUUGUAAACUUCUUUUAUGAGGGACGAAGGACGUGACGGUACCUCAUGAAUAAGCCACGGCUAACUACGUGCCAGCAGCCGCGGUAAUACGUAGGUGGCGAGCGUUAUCCGGAUUUACUGGGUGUAAAGGGCGCGUAGGCGGGGGCGCAAGUCAGGUGUGAAAUCUAUGGGCUUAACCCAUAAACUGCACUUGAAACUGCAUCUCUUGAGUGCUGGAGAGGUAGACGGAAUUCCUUGUGUAGCGGUGAAAUGCGUAGAUAUAAGGAAGAACACCAGUGGCGAAGGCGGUCUACUGGACAGUAACUGACGCUGAGGCGCGAAAGCGUGGGGAGCAAACAGG
RNAcentral lists this ribosomal RNA (408 nucleotides) under uncultured rumen bacterium. RNAcentral describes it as "bacterial SSU rRNA". It matches the Rfam family "Bacterial small subunit ribosomal RNA", at positions 354 to 776 of the family's 1533-position model. The record is from RNAcentral.